UCAGUCGCCAUUUUGGCAGCUGUUCUGAGAAUUGUUUCUCGGUCUGCUGCCGUGCCGUGAUCGAGGAUUAUGAGGCCUGCGAGGUGGCCGGCGACCAACAGGCGGCCACCGAGGGCCGUGGCAGGCCACGGACGGCGUGCGGGACAAGUCGAAGGGCUUGGAGGCGGUUUGGGACUCGCUCAGCCAGAUUCUGAUUGCCAGGGUGCGAGGCCGACAUUUUUUGCCAAGUGCAUUACAUACCCAUGCCCGCCCGCCAGCCGCACGAGAGGCUCAAUUUUGGCGACAGAUUUUUACUGCCUGGCCAUUCCUUCGAGUGGCUUCGGCAACAAGGUGCUGAACGUUGAGGGGACGGACGUUGCGUAGCUCGAGUCCGCCGUUGAGGAUUACGUGUUUACGAGCGAUUGUCCAGCGCCAACGUCGUCCGUGUCUUCGACUUAGUCUGCCAAUUGCUCGGGAGCACUGGGCUGCAUCCUCGGCGCUUGCGGCCGUGACCCUGGCCUUUUUUGCAGUGCUGCCGUCCAAUUCUCAUCCGCUGGGGCGAUUGUUGGCAACCCCUUCAGCAGCGGGAACGACGGGAACGUGCAUCCUUCGCGCGUUCUCGUCCUCAAUAGCCUUCGGCAGCACGUGCAACGCGUCAACGACAGGCCGCCUCUCAACUUGUCCAGCGCCCUGUAGAAGCCUGAGCCGCCCAGCAUCCAGGUUACGCCCCGCCACCAGGGUUCCUUCCAGAAAGUCCGUCUCUGUCCAAGAAUGUCAAGCAGUUUGCAAACAAGGCUCUAAACUGUGGUGACGUGGAGAGCAAGUUGGCCGUUCCCGAACCGACUCUAAGCAUGGCUAAAAAGCUGGCCAAGCCUGCGGUCGCCGAGAGGAACUCGUUUGGACACUCCUCGCUGGCUGAGCUGCGUGAGCUCACUCUAUAGUCAGACCAGCGUUGGCGUUGGCUCCUUGAGCGCGUCUCCUUGUCCUCGCUCGAGAAGCAGACCGCCGAGCUGACCAAUGCCAAGUCAGCCGCUUUCACGAGUCACCGUCAGACUCGCAGGUGUCCGUUCACCCUGCAGCGUCUGUCCGAGCUGCUGACGACGCCGAGGCAGCAGUACAACCGCAUCGACAAGUUCUGGUUGUCAGCGGCAACGAUCCUCCGCAGGUCACGGCCAACGGUCUGUCCGAGGACAACGGCCUCAAGGCCCCCGAGCCCAAGAAGCCGCGCUUUGAGGAAGUCGAGGAGAAGCUGGACACGGAGACUGCCGUCAAGGAGCAAACUGGUGACCACGUCGAAGACAAGAAAGACGAGAAGAACCUGCCAAAGAACCUGAACGAGGAAGCCUCCAAGCCAGAGGCUGAACCUGUGGAACCUCAGGUUGAAACCAAGACUGCCGAAGCUCCGAAGGAAGCUGCGGAAGAACCUGAAAUCGCAAAGGAGCCUGAAACGCCGCCAGCUGAACCUGUGGAGGCCGGAAGCUGAGAAGCAAGAAGAGCCUGAGGCUGUGUCUGAAGACCAAAAGAGAUGCCUUUGGUGGAAAAAGAGGCGCCGCGUUGGCCUCUCCCGAGAAGGAUUUGAGUUACGAAAAGGUUUUGGAAGCACUCAAAACUGAGGACGUGCCAAUGCCAAUGGAGGAGCAGAGCCGAGUUGCAUUUACUCGCGUGGACAAUUCUCUGAUCCUUAAUUUAUUUUCUGAUGCCGCUCUCAACUGAGCCUCUGUUAACUCUCACAAACCGUCGAAUUUAGCAGAAGAAUGACACGUAACACGUGUUGUGAUGAACAACGGUGGUGGGAAAUGCAACCCCGUAAUAUUAGUUUCUUAGUGCUUACGCGCCACGCUGCGAAAUAUUUAUUUUUAUCUCACCUGUAUUCUAUUAAAGAGAAAGCUG
Cloeon dipterum is the source of this 1869-nucleotide long non-coding RNA. RefSeq lists it as uncharacterized. Lineage: Eukaryota; Metazoa; Arthropoda; Insecta; Ephemeroptera; Baetidae. The record is from RefSeq and is a predicted model, not a curated record. The transcript is spliced from 5 exons.